UACGAGGGGUGCAAGCGUUAAUCGGAAUUACUGGGCGUAAAGCGUACGCAGGCGGUUUGUUAAGCAAGAUGUGAAAGCCCCGGGCUCAACCUGGGAAAGUCAUUUUGAACUGGCAAACUUGAGUCUUGUAGAGGGAGGUAGAAUUUCAGGUGUAGCGGUGAAAUGCGUAGAGAUCUGAAGGAAUACCGGUGGCGAAGGCGGCCUCCUGGACAAAGACUGACGCUGAGGUACGAAAGCGUGGGGAGCAAACAGG
This 253-nucleotide ribosomal RNA is filed under the name uncultured bacterium. RNAcentral's name for it is "partial 16S ribosomal RNA". It matches the Rfam family "Bacterial small subunit ribosomal RNA", at positions 524 to 776 of the family's 1533-position model. The record is from RNAcentral.